CUCUUUGGACGUCGACCGGCGCACGGGUGAGUAACGCGUAUCCAACCUUCCCAUUACUGUGGGAUAACCUGCCGAAAGGCAGACUAAUACCGCAUAGUCUUCGAUGACGGCAUCAGAUUUGAAGUAAAGAUUUAUCGGUAAUGGAUGGGGAUGCGUCCGACUAGCCUGUUGGCGGGGUAACGGCCCACCAAGGCGACGAUCAGUAGGGGUUCUGAGAGGAAGGUCCCCCACAUUGGAACUGAGACACGGUCCAAACUCCUACGGGAGGCAGCAGUGAGGAAUAUUGGUCAAUGGACGGAAGUCUGAACCAGCCAAGUAGCGUGCAGGAUGACGGCCCUAUGGGUUGUAAACUGCUUUUGUAUGGGGAUAAAGUUAGGGACGUGUCCCUAUUUGCAGGUACCAUACGAAUAAGGACCGGCUAAUUCCGUGCCAGCAGCCGCGGUAAUACGGAAGGUCCAGGCGUUAUCCGGAUUUAUUGGGUUUAAAGGGAGCGUAGGCUGGAGAUUAAGUGUGUUGUGAAAUGUAGACGCUCAACGUCUGAAUUGCAGCGCAUACUGGUUUCCUUGAGUACGCACAACGUUGGCGGAAUUCGUCGUGUAGCGGUGAAAUGCUUAGAUAUGACGAAGAACUCCGAUUGCGAAGGCAGCUGACGGGAGCGCAACUGACGCUUAAGCUCGAAGGUGCGGGUAUCAAACAGGAUUAGAUACCCUGGUAGUCCGCACAGUAAACGAUGGAUGCCCGCUGUUGG
Molecule: ribosomal RNA, 748 nt
Filed under: uncultured Bacteroidota bacterium
Lineage: Bacteria; Pseudomonadati; Bacteroidota
Description: bacterial SSU rRNA
Rfam family: Bacterial small subunit ribosomal RNA
Source: RNAcentral